This 479-nucleotide ribosomal RNA is filed under the name uncultured bacterium. RNAcentral's name for it is "bacterial SSU rRNA". It matches the Rfam family "Bacterial small subunit ribosomal RNA", at positions 32 to 521 of the family's 1533-position model. The record is from RNAcentral.
AAUCAACGCUGGCGGCGUGCCUCAGACAUGCAAGUCGAACGAUUAAGACUCUCUUCGGAGAGUGUAUAAAGUGGCGCACGGGUGAGUAACACGUAAGUAAUCUACCUUUGAGUGGGGAAUAACGUUCGGAACGGACGCUAAUACCGCAUAAUGCAGCGGCACCUAAUGGUGACAGUUGUUAAAGGAGCAAUCCGCUUAAAGAGGAGCUUGCGGCAGAUUAGCUAGUUGGAAGGUAAUGGCUUACCAAGGCUACGAUCUGUAACCGGUCUAAGAGGACGGUCGGUCACACUGACACUGAAUAACGGGUCAGACUCCUACGGGAGGCAGCAGUCGGGAAUUUUGGGCAAUGGGCGAAAGCCUGACCCAGCAACGCCGCGUGAAGGAUGAAGUAUUUCGGUAUGUAAACUUCGAAAGAAUGGGAAGAAUCAAUGACGGUACCAUUUAUAAGGUCCGGCUAACUACGUGCCAGCAGCCGCAGU